Molecule: unclassified non-coding RNA, 245 nt
Filed under: uncultured Sordariales
Lineage: Eukaryota; Fungi; Ascomycota; Sordariomycetes; Sordariales
Description: sequence contains 5.8S rRNA gene, ITS2, 28S rRNA gene
Source: RNAcentral
AACGCACAUUGCGCCCGCUAGCACUCUGGCGGGCAUGCCUGUUCGAGCGUCAUUUCAACCAUCAAGCCCCAGGCUUGUGUUAGAGCCCUGCGGCUGCCGCAGGCUCCUAAAAGCAGUGGCGGGCUCGCUAUUACACCGAGUGCAGUAGAUUUCUCUUCGCUCAGGGCGUGUGGCGGGUUCCAGCCGUGAAACCCCUACUUUUUAAGGUUGACCUCGGAUCAGGUAGGAAUACCCGCUGAACUUAA